GACGAACGCUGGCGGCGUGCUUAACACAUGCAAGUCGAACGGAAAGGCCCUGCUUGCAGGGUGCUCGAGUGGCGAACGGGUGAGUAACACGUGGGUGAUCUGCCCCUUACUUUGGGAUAAGCCUGGGAAACUGGGUCUAAUACUGGAUAGGACCAUGCUGUAGGUGGUGUGGUGGAAAGAUUAGUCUCGGUAAGGGAUGAGCUCGCGGCCUAUCAGCUUGUUGGUGGGGUAAUGGCCUACCAAGGCGUCGACGGGUAGCCGGCCUGAGAGGGUGGACGGCCACAUUGGGACUGAGAUACGGCCCAGACUCCUACGGGAGGCAGCAGUGGGGAAUAUUGCACAAUGGGCGCAAGCCUGAUGCAGCGACGCCGCGUGGGGGAUGACGGCCUUCGGGUUGUAAACUCCUUUCAGCCAUGACGAAGCCCUUGUGGUGACGGUAGUGGUAGAAGAAGCACCGGCUAACUACGUG
RNAcentral lists this ribosomal RNA (469 nucleotides) under uncultured bacterium. RNAcentral describes it as "partial 16S ribosomal RNA". It matches the Rfam family "Bacterial small subunit ribosomal RNA", at positions 28 to 507 of the family's 1533-position model. The record is from RNAcentral.